Molecule: long non-coding RNA, 853 nt
Filed under: Daphnia magna
Lineage: Eukaryota; Metazoa; Arthropoda; Branchiopoda; Diplostraca; Daphniidae
Description: uncharacterized LOC123473631, transcript variant X1
Source: RNAcentral
AAACUGGACGAACCAACAUGGUCUCCACGUACGUACGGAGAGGUACGUACCAGAAAACGGCACCAUUUCCAGGGUUUUCAUUGGCUCAGUAGGAUGGACACGUGACCAUCCUUUCAAGCGACGCAGUGGUGGGUAGGCCCCUAGCUCCUACCCCCGAAAUCUCAGCAGCCGCCGUCGCAUUUGAACCGGCAAUUGUUUUGUUUUUUCUCGUUUGUUGUCAUUUUCGUUUUUAAUGGCGGCCUGCUGUCAUUUAAAAUGAAUAAAUAUAUUACUUUUAGAAAAGGGCCGACUGCUCGUGAAGAGAACGAUGGAAUUUAUAGAUUCGGCUGGAAAACUUGUCGAGAAAGCUUUUUUGCUUUUUUAGAUAAACUGACACGAGAGUUUGGUACCUUCUCAAACAGGCAUAAUUUCAAUCUAAUUAAUUGUAUCUGAGAUUUUUUUACCAGAUUUGUUUACUAACAGGGAGCCCUCACUUUUUGCCGUAGCAAAACUGUUGGCAACUGGUCUUGUAAAUCUAAACAGGGUAGAAGUUCUUUGGCGUCCUGUAACAAAUCACCUGCUGGAAGUCAUCAUCCACCCGCUUAACCACAUGAGAGAAUGGGGAAUAGAGGCCAUUACUACGUUAGUUAGAUAAGCAAUUCAAUAUGAAUAUUCUACCCCUUUAAAAGAAAACCAGACGUUGUUAAUAUCGCCAUUAAAUGAGCUGUCUAGUACCAGUUUUGCAGACGUGCGGCAAAAGCAAGUUGAUUGUGUGCAACACCAAACUACUAUAUCAGCUGAUUCUUCAAUUAUUUCUUGAUAAAAUCUGUCUUGCAAAUUUCUAUAACAAGCAAAAUAUAUAAUUUUACAAUUA